Regulatory RNA element from Virgibacillus pantothenticus, 147 nucleotides. It matches the Rfam family "Ribosomal protein L10 leader". Rfam says of the family: This family is a putative r-protein leader autoregulatory structure found in B. subtilis and other low-GC Gram-positive bacteria. It is located in the 5' untranslated regions of mRNAs encoding ribosomal proteins L10 and L12 (rplJ-rplL). The record is from Rfam. NCBI's taxonomy places the organism in Bacteria, Bacillati, Bacillota, Bacilli, Caryophanales, Bacillaceae.
AUAAAAGAAUAUGAUGUACCGUAGACAGCAGGGGCAAAUAUCCGCUUAAUCAUCCUGCCGAGGUGUUUAUAGAUAAAUUGGAUAUUUAUGUUUUUCCAAUGAAUUGGUAAGCUCUCAUGUCUGCGUGAGAGCUUUUUAUUUACACUU